Pseudophryne corroboree (corroboree frog) is the source of this 1340-nucleotide long non-coding RNA. RefSeq lists it as uncharacterized. The transcript is spliced from 4 exons. The record is from RefSeq and is a predicted model, not a curated record. Lineage: Eukaryota; Metazoa; Chordata; Amphibia; Anura; Myobatrachidae.
CCCCCCCUGAUGAGCCGAGUUAUCUUUUUGAGACAGAGACACAGGAGACACAGCUGAAAAAAAUAAAAAAUAAAAAAAAAGACGCGAUCGCGGGGUGCGGAGCUGCAGCAACUACAGAAAGCUAAAGGCCAGUACUCACGGCCCGAUGCAGCUCUCUGCUUACAGUCAUGAAUGUCCCGGGGCCGGCAGCUCCCUCCGUCCUCACACAUUCGCCCCUCUGCCUCCAGCCCACUGUGUACACUAUAUCACCAGAAGUCCUAGGACAUAGAGGCACAGACCGCACUUCAGCAGCACAAUUUAGAGAACCAGUCCUCCACCAAGGUACCAGUAGCACAGCAAUGGCGCCUGGGAUCACUCUAAAGAAGGAUGGCCAUCGGUGUACACCUCCAUGCCUGUUCCUGCUCCUUCUCAUCAGGGGUGUGAGGGGAACCAUUGAUCUGCAGUCAUACAAGCAAUGCAUGCUGACAGGAGUCGUAGAAGAACGCUCACAGCAGAAGAGCCGGUGACAGGCAGGGGAAAGACAACCUGCCAGUAUCUGUGGAAAACAGCGCUCCUCAGGAGAGAGAGCAGAUCUAGAGAGCUCGGUAUGUGUGUGUUGGGGGGGGGAGCGGUAUUUAACACACAUGCAGCACAUGACACUCAUAUACACGUGCAACACCUGACACACACAAAGGCAGCACCUGACUCUCAUAUACACACAUGCAUAACAUCAGACACACUAAUCUACACAUGCAGCAACUGACACACACACACAAGGCAUUUAACACGCACAGAACCUGACACACACAUAUACACUCGCACCACCUGACACACACACAUACACUCGCACCACCUGACACACUCUUAUAUACACGCGCAUCACCUAACACACACAUAUACAUGUGCUGCACCUGACACACACACAUAAUGUAGACGUGCAACACCUGACACAUGCACAACAGCUGGCACACUAAUAUAAACAUGCAGCGUCUGACACACACAUAGACAGGCAGCACCUGACACAUACAUAGACGUGGCAUUUAAUACACACACAGCACCUAACACACAUACACUUGCAGCACCUCACACACACACACACACACACACACACACAUAUACAUGCACAGCACCUGCCACUCAUAUACACCCAAAGCAUCUGCCACUCACUGCAUAUACACACAGCAUCUGCCACUCACACACACAUACACACAGCACCUGACACACAUGUAUAUACACGCAGCACCUGACACACGUAUAUACACGCAGAGCACCUGAAACACACACACACAGCACCUACAUAUACACGCGCAGCACCUCACAGCCACACACAUAUAUACACGCGCAAUACCUUAUACACACAU